This 446-nucleotide ribosomal RNA is filed under the name uncultured bacterium. RNAcentral describes it as "partial 16S ribosomal RNA". It matches the Rfam family "Bacterial small subunit ribosomal RNA", at positions 338 to 795 of the family's 1533-position model. The record is from RNAcentral.
CCUACGGGAGGCAGCAGUCGAGAAUCAUUCACAAUGGGGGAAACUCUGAUGGUGCGACGCCGCGUGGGGGAAUGAAGGUCUUCGGACUGUAAACCCCUGUCAUGUGGGAGCAAAUUAAAAAGAGUGUAUCACAAGAGGAAGAGACGGCCAAACCUGUGCCAGCAGCCGCGGUAAUACAGAGGUCGCAAGCGUUGUUCGGAAUCACUGGGCGUAAAGCGUGCGUAGGCUGUUUCGUAAGUCGGGUGUGAAAGGCGCGGGCUCAACCGGCGGAGGGCACAGGAUACUGCGAGACUUGAGUAAAGGAGGGGGGACCGGAAUUCUCGGUGUAGCAGUGAAAUGCGUAGAUAUCGAGAGGAACACUCGUGGCGAAGGCGGGUUCCUGGACAUUAACUGACGCUGAGGCACGAAGGCCAGGGGAGCGAAAGGGAUUAGAUACCCCAGUAGUC